RNAcentral lists this ribosomal RNA (1253 nucleotides) under Microbacterium profundi. RNAcentral describes it as "bacterial SSU rRNA". It matches the Rfam family "Bacterial small subunit ribosomal RNA", at positions 259 to 1520 of the family's 1533-position model. Lineage: Bacteria; Bacillati; Actinomycetota; Actinomycetes; Micrococcales; Microbacteriaceae. The record is from RNAcentral.
AAUGGCUCACCAAGGCGUCGACGGGUAGCCGGCCUGAGAGGGUGACCGGCCACACUGGGACUGAGACACGGCCCAGACUCCUACGGGAGGCAGCAGUGGGGAAUAUUGCACAAUGGGCGCAAGCCUGAUGCAGCAACGCCGCGUGAGGGAUGACGGCCUUCGGGUUGUAAACCUCUUUUAGCAGGGAAGAAGCGAGAGUGACGGUACCUGCAGAAAAAGCACCGGCUAACUACGUGCCAGCAGCCGCGGUAAUACGUAGGGUGCAAGCGUUAUCCGGAAUUAUUGGGCGUAAAGAGCUCGUAGGCGGUUUGUCGCGUCUGCUGUGAAAUCUGGGGGCUCAACCCCCAGCCUGCAGUGGGUACGGGCAGACUAGAGUGCGGUAGGGGAGAUUGGAAUUCCUGGUGUAGCGGUGGAAUGCGCAGAUAUCAGGAGGAACACCGAUGGCGAAGGCAGAUCUCUGGGCCGUAACUGACGCUGAGGAGCGAAAGGGUGGGGAGCAAACAGGCUUAGAUACCCUGGUAGUCCACCCCGUAAACGUUGGGAACUAGUUGUGGGGUCCAUUCCACGGAUUCCGUGACGCAGCUAACGCAUUAAGUUCCCCGCCUGGGGAGUACGGCCGCAAGGCUAAAACUCAAAGGAAUUGACGGGGACCCGCACAAGCGGCGGAGCAUGCGGAUUAAUUCGAUGCAACGCGAAGAACCUUACCAAGGCUUGACAUAUACGAGAACGGGCCAGAAAUGGUCAACUCUUUGGACACUCGUAAACAGGUGGUGCAUGGUUGUCGUCAGCUCGUGUCGUGAGAUGUUGGGUUAAGUCCCGCAACGAGCGCAACCCUCGUUCUAUGUUGCCAGCACGUAAUGGUGGGAACUCAUGGGAUACUGCCGGGGUCAACUCGGAGGAAGGUGGGGAUGACGUCAAAUCAUCAUGCCCCUUAUGUCUUGGGCUUCACGCAUGCUACAAUGGCCGGUACAAUGGGCUGCAAUACCGUGAGGUGGAGCGAAUCCCAAAAAGCCGGUCCCAGUUCGGAUUGAGGUCUGCAACUCGACCUCAUGAAGUCGGAGUCGCUAGUAAUCGCAGAUCAGCAACGCUGCGGUGAAUACGUUCCCGGGUCUUGUACACACCGCCCGUCAAGUCAUGAAAGUCGGUAACACCUGAAGCCGGUGGCCUAACCCCUCGGGGAGGGAGCUGUCGAAGGUGGGAUCGGUAAUUAGGACUAAGUCGUAACAAGGUAGCCGUACCGGAAGGUGCGGCUG